UAGGGAAUCUUCCACAAUGGACGAAAGUCUGAUGGAGCAACGCCGCGUGAGUGAAGAAGGGUUUCGGCUCGUAAAACUCUGUUGUUAAAGAAGAACAUAUCUGAGAGUAACUGUUCAGGUAUUGACGGUAUUAACCGGAANCCACGGCUAACUACGUACCAG
This 162-nucleotide ribosomal RNA is filed under the name uncultured bacterium. RNAcentral's name for it is "partial 16S ribosomal RNA". It matches the Rfam family "Bacterial small subunit ribosomal RNA", at positions 355 to 511 of the family's 1533-position model. The record is from RNAcentral.